Long non-coding RNA from Microplitis demolitor, 1120 nucleotides. RefSeq lists it as uncharacterized. The transcript has 2 exons. NCBI's taxonomy places the organism in Eukaryota, Metazoa, Arthropoda, Insecta, Hymenoptera, Braconidae. The record is from RefSeq and is a predicted model, not a curated record.
UUGAAAUCUCUCAUGCGUAUUAAACUUAAUAUAUUGCUGUCGUUGCACACAAAUCAACUGUUUGCAAACAUACUUAAGUUAAUCAAUACUAUAAAUUCACUUCAAAAACAAUGGUAAAAAGAUUUAGCUACGUCACAGUGUCCCUGAAUACUUGUAAUUUACAAAGAGUUCAUAUCGAAGGUUGAUUAUUGAGGGUGCCAUCGAAUUAUCCUAAAAGCUAGUUAUCUACAGUGCUACUGAACGUCAGUUGCUGUUUGUUCCCUAUAGAGCUACGAAGCGGUUGAUAUUUAUGGCGCAUGUAUUUGAUUCCAAUGAUUGUUUGAGAUAGAGGUUUUUUUAGUCUUUCAAAUUUAGACACUGCCAUAUUUCAAUGCAUUUGACUUUAGAACCACUAUAAUUUCAGCACCAACGUAUUAAAUCUCUUAUAGAUUUAAGACCUAUGAUUUUUAUCAUCUCUUAUACUAUACGACUACAUUAUGAUGAGUCUUGUAUUAUUCAUGACCGUGUAACUUAGAAAGCUUACAUAAAAUCAUCUCUCACUUAUAAAUACAUAGAUAUUAUAACGCAACAUAUUUAAGUGACUUAUGUAUUAAGUGUCAAGCUAAUUAUGUACUUGUCAUAAGUAAUAUCAAUGUAACCGGCAGCUAAUUUGAUUUAACUACACAGUAACUUUAAGCCUUCAACUAAAUGCUGCCAAUAUAUUACGUCCCCGCAGUUUUUGUAGACCUUGUAUGUUUGUGUCCGUAAUGCUUAGCAACUCUAUAUUUUCAGCCCAGGUAUACUUUGUUGCUAUUUUCAAAAAUUUUACCGACCGCUACGAUUGUCGGUUGUUGCCGAUAAAGUAAAUUUGGAAUGGUAACUUGAAAAUACAUUUAACACUGUUUUUUAAAAUUCAUACGAGAAUACGUCGGUCGGUGCUGCUCUCUUGUGAAUAUUUCACAGAUCUUUUUGUUUCAAAUAUUUAUUAUAACCAAAUGUUUCUCAAAAUUCUGAGAGGUAUAUUUUCAAUGGUUCAAAUACAAAAAAAUAAUUUUUAGAACUUAUUAAUUAACAAUAAGAAUGCCAGGACGUUCCAAUGUAGGAGAAAUCCGUCUGUUCAGUAAAAAUAAAGUUUGAAUUA